RNAcentral lists this ribosomal RNA (464 nucleotides) under uncultured bacterium. RNAcentral's name for it is "partial 16S ribosomal RNA". It matches the Rfam family "Bacterial small subunit ribosomal RNA", at positions 339 to 795 of the family's 1533-position model. The record is from RNAcentral.
CUACGGGAGGCUGCAGUGGGGAAUAUUGCACAAUGGGCGCAAGCCUGAUGCAGCCAUGCCGCGUGUAUGAAGAAGGCCUUCGGGUUGUAAAGUACUUUCAGCGAGGAGGAAGGGAGUAAAGUUAAUACCUUUGCUCAUUGACGUUACCCGCAGAAGAAGCACCGGCUAACUCCGUGCCAGCAGCCGCGGUAAUACGGAGGGUGCAAGCGUUAAUCGGAAUUACUGGGCGUAAAGCGCACGCAGGCGGUUUGUUACGUCAGAUGUGAAAUCCCCGGGCUCAACCUGGGAACUGCAUCUGAUACUGGCAAGCUUGAGUCUCGUAGAGGGGGGUAGAAUUCCAGGUGUAGCGGUGAAAUGCGUAGAGAUCUGGAGGAAUACCGGUGGCGAAGGCGGCCCCCUGGACGAAGACUGACGCUCAGGUGCGAAAGCGUGGGGAGCAAACAGGAUUAGAUACCCUCGUAGUC